AGUGAACGCUGGCGGUAGGCCUAACACAUGCCAGUCGAACGGCAGCACAGUAAGAGCUUGCUCUUACGGGUGGCGAGUGGCGGACGGGUGAGGAAUACAUCGGAAUCUACUUUUUCGUGGGGGAUAACGUAGGGAAACUUACGCUAAUACCGCAUACGACCUACGGGUGAAAGCAGGGGAUCUUCGGACCUUGCGCGAUUGAAUGAGCCGAUGCCGGAUUAGCUAGUUGGCGGGGUAAAGGCCCACCAAGGCGACGAUCCGUAGCUGGUCUGAGAGGAUGAUCAGCCACACUGGAACUGAGACACGGUCCAGACUCCUACGGGGGGCAGCAGUGGGGAAUAUUGGACAAUGGGCGCAAGCCUGAUCCAGCCAUACCGCGUGGGUGAAGAAGGCCUUCGGGUUGUAAAGCCCUUUUGUUGGGAAAGAAAAGCAGCAGGUUAAUACCCCGCUGUUCUGACGGUACCCAAAGAAUAAGCACCGGCUAUCUUCGUG
RNAcentral lists this ribosomal RNA (492 nucleotides) under uncultured bacterium. RNAcentral describes it as "partial 16S ribosomal RNA". It matches the Rfam family "Bacterial small subunit ribosomal RNA", at positions 29 to 507 of the family's 1533-position model. The record is from RNAcentral.